Drosophila busckii is the source of this 1457-nucleotide long non-coding RNA. RefSeq lists it as uncharacterized. The transcript has 3 exons. The record is from RefSeq and is a predicted model, not a curated record. Lineage: Eukaryota; Metazoa; Arthropoda; Insecta; Diptera; Drosophilidae.
GUGUGUAAAUGUAUGCGCUAGGUGCAAAAUAAUAUUCACAAGAAGCGGCAAAACAAAUGAAAAUCAAAUUUGUAUACACAAAGUGAGCGGCGGCGAAUGAAUGUUGUGAAGUUGCGGCGCAAAAAGAAAGCAAGCAAAUAAACCAUAAGAAAGAAGGAAAGAAAGAAUAAAAAAUAUAAAUUGAAUUACGCCUGCGUCUAGGAAAGUGCGUCGUUUUAUUUUGAAAUCGAUACCAAAAUAAAAAUAUACAAAAAGUGGGCCUCGUUCUACAUACAAACAAACAACAUACACACACACACACUCACAAAGAGAAAUGUUCUAUGUGCAUGCGGGUGUGUAUUUGUGAGUAGUGCUGCUGCUGUUGUUGUUGCUGUAUGUGUGUGUGUGUGUGUGUUGCGUACAUACGUGCGUGUGUAUGGUGCAAAGUACAGCAUAAACAAAUGAAAAUGGUUAACAAGAAUGCAAAAAAGUUCUGCCAAUUGAAAGCCAAUCUAAAGUGUUAAAUUAAAUGUGACAAGGCAAGAGCCAACAACUAAGCGAAAGUUUAACGAAAAUGAUAACCUAAAACCCAAAAAGGUUAAAUUACAUCACAAAACUAGUCAAAAUAUAAAGCGAAAAAGUGACGAAAUAAAAUAGAGUUAGUGAUAAUAAUUGAUCACAUAAAAAAGAAAAAGAAACAACUUUUCUAUAUCCUUUACAUUUGUGCGUGUUUUACAAUUUUAUAAAACAAAACAAGUCAAGACUUAUGCUAUGAACUGGAUACUGCCUCAACAAUAAAAACAACAACAACUACUACAAAAAAACAACGUCCUAUAGUUUACGACCAGCCGAAGCAACAAUAGCAACAAAAAUCAUUCCAACUGAAACACAACAGAGCAGAGCGAAGAGUGAAUGAGAGAGAGCGAGAGCGAGAAGUCAAUCUGCAAUGAUUACUUAGUGGGCUAUUGCCCGCAAUCCAAGCGUAUACAACAAUACUAAAAGUACUUUAUAUAUUUAACAAAAAAAAAACAACAACAGAACAUGCUCAAAAUGGAUUCAUAUUGGUUCGUUUCAAAUGGAUUCAUAACGAAUUCAUUUUUGACUUACUUGUGUUUUUUAACCAAAAAACAAAGAGACACUGAGACAACAACAACAACAGCCAAUGCAGCAAACGACUGCAGCGAGGUAUUAGCAACAGCAACAACAACAACAAGCGGCUGCGCGUCUGGCAACAUUUGUUUGCUUUGCCGUCAAGUGUUGCCAGCAACAUGUUGCAGCAGUUCCAGCGCAACAUUCCAUGUUGCUGGCGUUGCGAAUGCAUGUUGCUGUCAAAAUAGUAGUAGUAAACAUACAAAUAGUAGUAGCAGCAGCAGUUGCAGCUGCAAUAGUAAUAGUACAAAUGACAAUAACCAAAAAUCAACAACAACAACAACAGCAACAAGUGCAGCAGGCAAUUGCUAUUGCAACAACAACAUGAA